RNAcentral lists this long non-coding RNA (1493 nucleotides) under Solanum tuberosum (potato). RNAcentral describes it as "long non-coding RNA (STUB_LNC001430)". Lineage: Eukaryota; Viridiplantae; Streptophyta; Magnoliopsida; Solanales; Solanaceae. The record is from RNAcentral.
AACACGUGCGUUGCACGUGUAUAUCGUGCUAAUUAGUAUAAAUACUUCUAAUAUAUAAGCGUACGAUGUGUAAAAUACAAGUUCGAAUCAAUGAACGGUGAUUAUAUUCAACUGAUAUUAUCAUCAUUGCAAGGCACAUCAUACAAAAAUAUUGUUAUCAAGUGAUUUCAAACGUAAUACUAUAACGACUUCAAAUAUACAAUUCUUAUAAUAAAUCAAUUAUUCAACUUGUUAAGAGUACUUUUUUUAAUACGUCACAACACAUAAUUUAAAUGUCGGCACUAUAGUUGCAAAAUAUUUAAUGCCUUAAAGUUUCCGUCUUCUUUUUAAGGAAUUGUAGCCUCCACUUUUUUUUUACAGAUGCAUACAUAUCGAGAAGUUAUCAUUGAAAGGGAGUAGUGUUCUAUAAUAGUUGUAGAGAAAUUCAAUCAACAUAUAUCUUCUUUAGGAUGGUUAGUAGAUCAUUAUCAAGUUCAUAUUGUACACCUACAAAAAAAAUAGUAUUUAUUUGUUAUAAAAAUAAUCAUUGUUUAAAUAUUUUAUAGACAUGAAUAUGUACUCUUCGUCUUCUUUGACUCAUUCAAAAUUAUUAAUUCUGUCAUCUUUAAAUUUUGAAUUAUGAAAUACAACACAAUCACUUGUAAGAUAUUAACAAUAUGGUAGAAAAAAAGAAAACAAUAUAAACCAAUAAUUAUAUGGUGCAAAAAAUAAAUGCAUAAAGAAAAGAUAACUUUGAAUAUGUGUAUAUACAUACUUAUGAACCAACCAAAAAACAAAUGAAUUACAUAUAAGAAAAUUUGAAAUCAUCAAAUAAAAGUUCAAUGAAAUAGAAGUAUUUUCAAAGGAUAAAUAAACAGAUAAUAAAAGUAUUACUCCAUCUAAAUAAGUUCAGAUUCCAGCAUUUAUAUAAUUAGACAUCAAAUCAAGACUUUAUAAAACAAAAGUAUUUUCAUCAAAAAAAGAAGAAGAAAAGAGAACAAUGAAAGUACUACUCUACCUUACUGAAGUUCAGUUUCUACUGCUCAUACAAUUAGAUACAUAGUGAUAAUAGAGUUUAAAUAUAAAUAGGAGAUAUUAGGAGAGAUGAAAAGACUUAUAACUGAUUUGAAUAUAAUAUUUAAUGUAAAAUUAUGUCUUUUUGGAUUCUUAAAUAUAACACAUAAAUAAGAGAAAAUAAAAAGAUUUUUACCUAAUGACAUUAUGCUGUUGUUUAAUGAGGAAUUAUGUCUCCUUGGUUUAUUAAUGUGGUUGAAGAGUAUAUGAACGAAUUUUGAUGAGUGGUGCAACUAUUUAAUAUGUUAUUAUUUAAUUAUCUAAUUAUUAAUUAAAUAUAGUGGGAAAAGGCAAAUUUGAAGAGAAACCAAUUGUGAUCUUUGAACUUUUGUUUAUAAGAUGUUACCCACGUUACAUGGACUUUUGGACUUCUUAUUAAAUAAAAUGAAAAGAAUUAGUGAAAAAGGAUAACUAAAAGUGGGAAAAGCAGAUUUUUUUUA